GUCAUGAUGAUUCUCCUUACAUGUGUUAGAACUUCUGACGUGGAUGAAGUGAAGCUGAGUCUGAGC
This is a small nucleolar RNA of Pelodiscus sinensis (Chinese soft-shelled turtle), 66 nucleotides long. It matches the Rfam family "Small nucleolar RNA SNORD104". From Rfam's summary of the family: The members of this family belong to the C/D class of snoRNAs which contain the C (UGAUGA) and D (CUGA) box motifs. Most of the members of the box C/D family function in directing site-specific 2'-O-methylation of substrate RNAs. NCBI's taxonomy places the organism in Eukaryota, Metazoa, Chordata, Testudines, Trionychidae. The record is from Rfam.